RNAcentral lists this ribosomal RNA (548 nucleotides) under uncultured Glomus. RNAcentral's name for it is "SSU rRNA". It matches the Rfam family "Eukaryotic small subunit ribosomal RNA", at positions 548 to 1098 of the family's 1831-position model. The record is from RNAcentral. Lineage: Eukaryota; Fungi; Glomeromycota; Glomeromycetes; Glomerales; Glomeraceae.
UUGGAGGGCAAGUCUGGUGCCAGCAGCCGCGGUAAUUCCAGCUCCAAUAGCGUAUAUUAAAGUUGCUGCAGUUAAAAAGCUCGUAGUUGAAUUUCGGAACCAAUAUGUUGGUUGUGCCUCGGUACGUACUGGCAUUGUUGGUUUCUCCCUUCUGACGAACUAUGAUGUCAUUAAUUUGGUGUCAUGGGGAAUCAGGACUGUUACUUUGAAAAAAUUAGAGUGUUUAAAGCAGGCUCACGCUUGAAUACAUUAGCAUGGAAUAAUGAAAUAGGACGUUUGAUUCUAUUUUGUUGGUUUCUAGGAUUGACGUAAUGAUUAAUAGGGAUAGUUGGGAGCAUUAGUAUUCAAUUGUCAGAGGUGAAAUUCUUGGAUUUAUUGAAGACUAACUACUGCGAAAGCAUUUGCCAAGGAUGUUUUCAUUAAUCAAGAACGAAAGUUAGGGGAUCGAAGACGAUCAGAUACCGUCGUAGUCUUAACCAUAAACUAUGCCGACUAGGGAUCGGAUGAUGUUAAUUUUUUAAUGACUCAUUCGGCACCUUACGGGAAAC